RNAcentral lists this ribosomal RNA (550 nucleotides) under uncultured bacterium. Its description in RNAcentral is "bacterial SSU rRNA". It matches the Rfam family "Bacterial small subunit ribosomal RNA", at positions 355 to 896 of the family's 1533-position model. The record is from RNAcentral.
UAGGGAAUCUUCCGCAAUGGGCGAAAGCCUGACGGAGCAACGCCGCGUGAGUGAUGAAGGUCUUCGGAUCGUAAAACUCUGUUAUUAGGGAAGAACAUAUGUGUAAGUAACUGUGCACAUCUUGACGGUACCUAAUCAGAAAGCCACGGCUAACUACGUGCCAGCAGCCGCGGUAAUACGUAGGUGGCAAGCGUUAUCCGGAAUUAUUGGGCGUAAAGCGCGCGUAGGCGGUUUUUUAAGUCUGAUGUGAAAGCCCACGGCUCAACCGUGGAGGGUCAUUGGAAACUGGAAAACUUGGGUGCAGAAGAGGAAAGUGGAAUUCCAUGUGUAGCGGUGAAAUGCGCAGAGAUAUGGAGGAACACCAGUGGCGAAGGCGACUUUCUGGUCUGUAACUGACGCUGAUGUGCGAAAGUGUGGGGAUCAAACAGGAUUAGAUACCCUGGUAGUCCACGCCGUAAACGAUGAGUGCUAAGUGUUAGGGGGUUUCCGCCCCUUAGUGCUGCAGCUAACGUAUUAAGCACUCCGCCUGGGGAGUACGACCGCAAGGUUG